This 253-nucleotide ribosomal RNA is filed under the name uncultured bacterium. RNAcentral's name for it is "partial 16S ribosomal RNA". It matches the Rfam family "Bacterial small subunit ribosomal RNA", at positions 524 to 776 of the family's 1533-position model. The record is from RNAcentral.
UACAGAGGUCCCAAGCGUUGUUCGGAUUCAUUGGGCGUAAAGGGCGCGUAGGCGGGCACGCAAGUCAGGGGUGAAAGCCCACGGCUCAACCGUGGAAGGGCCUUUGAUACUGCGUGUCUGGAGGGAGGUAGGGGCGUGCGGAACUUCCGGUGGAGCGGUGAAAUGCGUAGAUAUCGGGAGGAACACCGGUGGCGAAAGCGGCGCGCUGGGCCUCAUCUGACGCUGAGACGCGAAAGCGCGGGGAGCGAACGGG